UGCGUAGGCGGAUCAAUAAGUCAGUGGUGAAAUCUCUCGGCUAAACCGGGAAACUGCCAUUGAUACUGUUGAUCUUGAGUUCGGUUGAGGUAGGCGGAAUGUGUAAUGUAGCGGUGAAAUGCUUAGAUAUUACACAGAACACCAAUUGCGUAGGCAGCUUACUAGACCGACACUGACGCUGAGGCACGAAAGCGUGGGGAGCGAACAGGAUUAGAUACCCUGGUAGUCC
RNAcentral lists this ribosomal RNA (229 nucleotides) under uncultured bacterium. RNAcentral's name for it is "partial 16S ribosomal RNA". It matches the Rfam family "Bacterial small subunit ribosomal RNA", at positions 568 to 796 of the family's 1533-position model. The record is from RNAcentral.